Molecule: ribosomal RNA, 1125 nt
Filed under: Campylobacter jejuni
Lineage: Bacteria; Pseudomonadati; Campylobacterota; Epsilonproteobacteria; Campylobacterales; Campylobacteraceae
Description: bacterial SSU rRNA
Rfam family: Bacterial small subunit ribosomal RNA
Source: RNAcentral
GCAACGCCGCGUGGAGGAUGACACUUUUCGGAGCGUAAACUCCUUUUCUUAGGGAAGAAUUCUGACGGUACCUAAGGAAUAAGCACCGGCUAACUCCGUGCCAGCAGCCGCGGUAAUACGGAGGGUGCAAGCGUUACUCGGAAUCACUGGGCGUAAAGGGCGCGUAGGCGGAUUAUCAAGUCUCUUGUGAAAUCUAAUGGCUUAACCAUUAAACUGCUUGGGAAACUGAUAGUCUAGAGUGAGGGAGAGGCAGAUGGAAUUGGUGGUGUAGGGGUAAAAUCCGUAGAUAUCACCAAGAAUACCCAUUGCGAAGGCGAUCUGCUGGAACUCAACUGACGCUAAGGCGCGAAAGCGUGGGGAGCAAACAGGAUUAGAUACCCUGGUAGUCCACGCCCUAAACGAUGUACACUAGUUGUUGGGGUGCUAGUCAUCUCAGUAAUGCAGCUAACGCAUUAAGUGUACCGCCUGGGGAGUACGGUCGCAAGAUUAAAACUCAAAGGAAUAGACGGGGACCCGCACAAGCGGUGGAGCAUGUGGUUUAAUUCGAAGAUACGCGAAGAACCUUACCUGGGCUUGAUAUCCUAAGAACCUUUUAGAGAUAAGAGGGUGCUAGCUUGCUAGAACUUAGAGACAGGUGCUGCACGGCUGUCGUCAGCUCGUGUCGUGAGAUGUUGGGUUAAGUCCCGCAACGAGCGCAACCCACGUAUUUAGUUGCUAACGGUUCGGCCGAGCACUCUAAAUAGACUGCCUUCGUAAGGAGGAGGAAGGUGUGGACGACGUCAAGUCAUCAUGGCCCUUAUGCCCAGGGCGACACACGUGCUACAAUGGCAUAUACAAUGAGACGCAAUACCGCGAGGUGGAGCAAAUCUAUAAAAUAUGUCCCAGUUCGGAUUGUUCUCUGCAACUCGAGAGCAUGAAGCCGGAAUCGCUAGUAAUCGUAGAUCAGCCAUGCUACGGUGAAUACGUUCCCGGGUCUUGUACUCACCGCCCGUCACACCAUGGGAGUUGAUUUCACUCGAAGCCGGAAUACUAAACUAGUUACCGUCCACAGUGGAAUCAGCGACUGGGGUGAAGUCGUAACAAGGUAACCGUAGGAGAACCUGCGGUUGGAUCACCUCCUUUCUA